UCGAACAUGAGGGGAGACUGUCGCUGGCUUCGGAGCGAUCUGAAGCAUGUGCACGUUUCUUUUCUUACACACCACACACACCUGUGCACACGUUGUAGGCUCCUCGAGAGGGGGGACUACGUUUAUCUACAUCCACAUCCUUACGGUAUGUAACAUGUAUGGCCAGAAGGUAUCUAGGCUGUCGCCCGACCGGAGUCGAACAAAUAUUA
RNAcentral lists this unclassified non-coding RNA (209 nucleotides) under uncultured Boletus. RNAcentral's name for it is "sequence contains ITS1". The record is from RNAcentral. Lineage: Eukaryota; Fungi; Basidiomycota; Agaricomycetes; Boletales; Boletaceae.